AAUGCACCACAUCUUACGCUCA
Molecule: microRNA, 22 nt
Filed under: Caenorhabditis elegans
Lineage: Eukaryota; Metazoa; Nematoda; Chromadorea; Rhabditida; Rhabditidae
Description: cel-miR-4929
Source: miRBase by way of RNAcentral